UCUAACAUUGUCCGUGAGUGCAGUAAAGAGAUAAACAAAAACACAAACAAAAAGAAACAUUAGAAACUUCGUAAAAAUAAAGGUUGAAACCGGGACCGGGGACGCAUUCACAGUUUUACCAAGGAAUACAGUGUGUGCCGCUUUAACAUAAUUACACAACUUGCGAUUCCGUGUUACCCAUUAACCUUGCGCAGAUGCCUCAUUCACCAGAAUAGAUACCUAUGUGUAAAUUUGCCUUUUUGAACAUGAUGCGGUAUGCACGUGGACGUGGACAAUACGAAGGACAGUUUUGGAGCGAAAUCGGUGCGAAGAAAGAUAUUCUCAGUUUUUCAAAAAAAGUAUGCCCUGCUGAGUUUUGAAGAAAGGGGGAAUGAGUGCGUCGUAUUUUUAAAAACUUCCCGAAAAUAGGAUGGCUAAAAAGUUUGUGAAAGAUUUGUUUGCAGUUAAUGGACAUUCUUGUGGAGUAGAUGCAUAUUUUCAUCCAUUUGGCAAAUUUGUGUUUCAUGCUUCUCAUAAACGACUGGUUUCAGUGAGGAUGUGCCAUGUUGCAUUUAGUUGUAAGUGAAUUAAGUCGCGUAUGGGUUUCCACCUUAAUGUGUUCAAAUAGAAUUGGUUACAACUGGACCAUUAGUGGGACAAUAUAAUUUUCGCGAUUUCGCGGAUGCCGCGAAGUCCGUGAAAUUUGUCCUACACUGAGAAUUUUGAUCAAUCGGUGAAAUUUUGAAUAUUCAAAGAAAUGUCUCUAAUGUAAUUCUACAAUAUUUUUUUUAUGUUUUCAAACGCAUUUCUUGAAUUGUAAUACCUUGUUAAGCUAUUUAUUUUGAAAUUUGCAUAUUUUUUUAUUUGUUCACCCUCUACAACCCAACCCAACAUCUAGACGGGCUUUGAUCUUAAAAAUGGCCAAAAAUCAAUUUUCCAACCAAUUUUUGAUCCUCAAAAGCAUUUGAAAGAAGAACUCUAAAAAUUAAAGAAAUUUUUGGGGUUGGAAGUUUGACUUGUUUUAUGUGCCAAUCAAGGGUCCUGAUUUUCGGUUUAUUGAACGAAAACCACUCACUCAUCGCCUAUCCAUUCGUCGCCUAUUCUAACCCGUUAGCAUUCAUGAGCGAAUGAUACUCGCAAGCAGCCAGCGAGUGGCCCGAACUGUUCACUCAGCGAACAAAUACAUCGUGAAAAUAUUUGUCUACUUCGUCGCUCGACGACACUCACACACUACCAUGCUCAGCGAAGAUCCAUUCUCACAAAAUGCCAGCGCGGCAGUCUUUUUGUCUUCACGCCCUCAGUUUGCCAUCAAUUUGAUUUUUUCUUGGUGGAAGUUUCUUUGAAUGGUGUCUAUAAUGUUAUGAAAUCAAAAUAAAUGCACAAUUUAAUUGAUAACAUUGAAUUUAGGCAACCCAAAUCAAUGAAUAUAACGCAGCGCAUCAGAGAAAAAAUGUGUUCAGUUCAGAGUGAUCGGCGACGUUCGGCCUGCCUGAGCCGUUCGGAGACUGAGCCGAUCAGAGAGAGAAGGAGAGUAGAAGAGAGAGUGUCCGGGAGCGAAUGAUGUGAAAGUGACAAACGGUAGGAAUUCAUCAGGGCAGUAUCGCGUCGCUUGCUAUUUGUGCUCGCGAAUGGAGUGGUUGAUUUUGAGCAAUCAGGACCCUUGGUGCCAAUGUUUUUAAAUAUUUUAUUUAAGAGGUCAACUUUGGCUGUGUUUUUUACUAACAUUUCCUAUAUUUUAAGUAAAAAGAAGUAUGAGGUAAUUUUUGUAGUGUCCCAGAAUAUGCCUCUCUCUCUCAUUUUUUUACAAUUUAAAUUAUAAUGUUGCCAUUCUAUACACGGAACAAAAUCCGGUCAGCGAAUCUGAAACAAAAUCGCGACAAAUUCGGAAACUUCUCUUGUUUUCGAAAUCAUCGAGAAUGUUGUCGAUUCUGGAGAAAUUGUUUUCGAUAACGAAACAAAUUGUUUCCAAAAUCGCAAACAUCGUGUUUUCGGUGUAUUUUUCUGCCUUUGCUCGCCGCAGCAGGCCGCAGCCAAUGCGUUACGCGACGUCAAAGUCAGCUGGACGCGCUCUGCAAGCAAAAUCAAAACAAACAAAAAUCGCGCAAAAAUAUCCAAUACUCCGUGUGGAGCAGGUUUCGGAGAUUGUGGUCCCAUAGAAUCCGACCACGUUUACCCGGACAAGAAGCUGUCCGUGAAGGCGGCGGGGAGGAAGGGUGCUAACAGUUCUUCUCGGUUCUACGCGGAGCUGACUCCGAGUCGAAAAGGCGCAUCAGAACCGCCGGAAGAUGCUGAAUCUGUUUUAGGUGAUCCAUUUUCUGACGCCCAGUUUGUGCGUACGGAUCGUAAAGUAGACCAGUUGACCGAGUGUUAAAUGCUGACCUCAAAAUAAGCAGCACAGUCUACGGCUCGCAGCUGAACCGUGAGUUCGGCAAACACCUUCACAGAUCCGACUGCUGGCGGAGAUUCUGGGGACUUGUUCCAGGCGGACGGUCUUCUAGUGGAGGCCACUCCGCUCAAGUCGAUUCUCGAGGUGUCGGCGGUCUACCUCCAGGACUUCUGGCGGUACGCGAAUCCGCUCAAGGAACGUGCCAGCUCGUUGCGCGACGCUGGAAAUCAACCAGAUCGACGACCCGAGCACGCUGCACCGGUCUCAGCACCUCUAUCCGGGUGGCCCCGCCGCCGACGUCACCGAACACGAGAAGAACCUGUACAAUCAUUACCAAAAACAUAGUUGCCGAUACUUUGGCAAUUAGAGCCACCUUCUUCUCAAACUGCUAGCACCGGGAUUCACGUCACGGGGAGUAACAUGCCAACGGCGGCACCGACGCCCAGCAGUAACCUGCUGCCCCGCGGACAUCCAGGACGACCAGAUCAGAACAAUCGACGACUGAUUGAAUCAAAAUUCCGAAGUAAAACCACUCACACAAUUGCUUUGAUUUUAUUUUGAGUCAUGAAUAAAUAAAUAAAAACAUUGAAACCUU
Long non-coding RNA from Culex pipiens pallens (northern house mosquito), 2960 nucleotides. RefSeq lists it as uncharacterized. NCBI's taxonomy places the organism in Eukaryota, Metazoa, Arthropoda, Insecta, Diptera, Culicidae. The record is from RefSeq and is a predicted model, not a curated record. The transcript is spliced from 3 exons.